Molecule: long non-coding RNA, 3429 nt
Filed under: Homo sapiens (human)
Lineage: Eukaryota; Metazoa; Chordata; Mammalia; Primates; Hominidae
Description: HSALNT0049295
Source: RNAcentral
CAAGAGGGUAGAUCCACAAUAAGCAGAGCUUUCCCGCAGCCAGCUUUCCCGUAUUCAGAUAGGAAGCAGCAGGCAGCGUGUCAGCCUCUUCCUCCCCUGACAUGCUGGGAGAGGGCAUAGAAGCCCAUCUCCUGAGGACAUUGAAGAGGGGUCCUAACAUGCGGGCAGGGGAAGGGGACUAGGUUAACAUCUGCCUAUGAGUUCAAAUUCUUUGAUUCUAGAUUAUCACACAACAGUCUUCAGAAAAUGUCUAUUCCUCAGAAGUUAGAAAACAGUUGUUUUGUACAAAAUAUACAAUUGUAUAUUUUGUGUAUUGUAUAUUUGUAUUUUGUUACUUAUUUGUGACAUGUAUUUAUGAAUGAGAAUCCUUUUGUUAAAGCAAAAGCAUUUGAACACUCUCUGCUGGUCUGAGAACUUCAUAUUUCUUCAGUAAAUCAUUAUAAUCUGAGCACACGGACAGCAUCCUUGCUUCUGGCGCCAAGAAGUACAAUCAACUGGUGGAGAGUGUUUCUUAAAUGAAAGUGGUGUUUCCAGUUGGCAAAACAGAUUAUUUUUGCUAUUAAAGAAAUUGAUUUCUUAACACAUGUGAUUAAUUAUGUCUGUAAAACAGAAAAUCCAUCAAAGACAAAAUGUUUUUCCCUUCAGAAAACACUUACAAAUUCUUACAAUGUCAUUGACUAAAUAUGACAUUCUAUUAAUGGGCACCUUGUCUCCAAAGAUACAUCUGGGCUCAUUCUCCACAUUGUCUUCCCUAGGCUUUUGGGAGAUUGAUGACUGAUGACAAAAACAGGGCAGCACUCGGUGACUUUCUGCUGGUUCUUGAGAAUCCAAAUGAAAGUCCUACCCUGAACCUGCUCUGCAAAGGGGACCCACAUGAGGUCGCUUGGAAAGGGUCCUGACCCACCCACCAUGUCAAGCAAUUAUUUUUCUGGACAGCUUCCUGAUGUCCCCAAGGAGAGAGAGAGCGUGACAGCCAGUGAGGGAAAGCAUGCCACAGGUCCCGCCUGCUAACCUGGCAGGAGGGUGCUUGCAACACCUAAUUUAUCAACGCUUGUUUUCCCUGCUGGAGCCAAGUACACAAAAUCACUCCGCCAACAGAGAAAGAGAAAGGGGAAGCCAUUCUUCACCUUUUUCAGUAAUGUAUUUUUGUUUUGGUCAAUUUCCCAGAUAAAUUAUGGUCUUGUCUCAUUGCUGCAUUGGUGGAAUUCUUGCUAGUGUUAUUUAGUACAUUUUAAAGCUGUGUGAAACCAAAAGGUACUUAAAAAAAAAAAAAAAAGGAAAGUUAACCAAAUUGAAGGGUAAAUUUUUUACAUUGUUCCACUGGCUCCAGUUGGAGCUUAAUCAUCACGACCCUUCCUUCAGUCCACAGCGCCUGCUUCAAGAUGCAGCAGAAGUCAAAAUUGCAAGAGUCUGGAUGUUUUGCUUUCGUGUAACUCAUUAGGCAUUUCCCCCUGUGCUAUGAUAAAUGUCUCUCUCAACCAGAAAUUUUAUCUCACCUGUGUAUGUCCCUAUUUCACUCUGCGGAAUCACUCUCAGGAAAUACAAGCUAAUGAUGUCUGUGGUUCUGAAAUUUCCUUGUUAUUAUUUGUUUAAGACAUUUUUUAAAAAAACCUGUGGACAGCUUAUUAAAAGGAUGCUGAGCAAUGAAAACAUUAUUAGACCAUAUUAUUGUUUAUUGUACCCAGAUGUCGUGCAUUUUACACAUCCCAAAGGAUUAGUAGUAAUGUUGGAUACCAAAAUCUUACUUUUCCUUGCAGAUAUUGAGACUAAAUUUUUCUCAUUAAAAACAAAACAUUUACACUGAACAAAUGGUGCGUGUCCGGGUGAAGCAUCAGGUCUCAAGAAGGCAACACUGCUCAAACGAGACUUAGGACAGAACUGGAGACCAAAACAAAGCUGAGGCUACUGUUGGAAAUACUGGUCUAAAAAAAGGAAGAGUGUGGUAUGCUUGUUUUUUAGUUUUAUAGAAUUUUCCAUUUGGAAAGGAGAGAAAUGCAUACAUCCAAGCUGAAAUAAACCAUUCUAGCAAACAUGCCGAGGAAUAAUUUUCAAGAAUGUUUUGUUUUUAAUGAAAAGGAAAGCAAAUCAAAGAAAACCUGGGUAAGUGUUAAAGAGUACUAAAUUUAUAGUAAGGUUCAGGCAAUCUGCCCACUGCAAUCAGAAAGGUUUGGGCUGUUAGUCAUUUAAGACACACAAUGGGAAAAUAAACAAAGAAGGAGGAAGGGGGAAUGGUAAACUGUAGUUUGGCAGCAAAAUUAGUCCAGCUAGUUCCAUUACAUAUUAAACCAUGUCACAAAGCAAAUAAUUGAAAUAAUGAGGAGCUCAUUUUUUAAAAGAUAUAUAGAGUAGCAUAACAGAAUCAACAAAAAUAAGACUGUUUUAUAUAACAAUUCAAUAGACAAUAAAUAAGCACUCCAUUUGGGGAAAAGAAUCACACAAUAAAUGAUGCUGGGAUGGCUUGUGAGUAAUUUGGAGAAAACUGAUCUAGAAUGAGAGCGAGUAUUCCACAUUCGCCACUCUCUUGUCUUUUGGCUUUCUAUCACCUUGGCCAAUGGAGGAAGACAGCAAAAAACAGGAAGGAGGAAGAGUAUGAAGGGAGUCAUUUCUCCCCGGCACUCCAUGCCAGGUUGCUCCAGAAGGCUGUGUCUCUGUCCUAAGGGCUACAGCUUGGCUUGGGCAGUCUUUCCAUACAACUCUCCAGGUUCGGGAAAUUGCUUACUCAUCUGCCCCUGCAAGUGCAGGGAUGACAAUCACUUCCAGCUGAGCUGAGCCCAGCAUGCUGCAUCAUUCUUUGUUGAUGUCCCUCAACUCCGCUGGCGCUAUCUUGAUUAUCCUUAGGCUUACCUCAGUUCCCCAGUCCUAGUGGGCCUUCUGGUUCCUCCUGGGGCACUGACUGAUCCAGGUGCCCUGGGGUUCAGUCGCUAAGUUUCAGCUUCCUAUGUGAUGGGGUUUGGUUCUGUCCUUGUCUAAAUCUCAUGUUGAAUUGUAAUCCCCAGUGCUGGAGGUGGGGCCUGGUGAGAGGUGACUGGAUCAUGGGGUGGAUUUCUCACGAAUAGUUUAGUGCCGUUCCGUUGGUGCUAUCCUCAUGAUAGUGAGUGAGUUCUUGCAAAAUCUGGUCAUUUAAAAGUGCUCCUGCUUUUGCCAUGUGAUGUGUGACAUGCGUACUCCCGCUUCACCUUCCACCACGAUUGUAAGUUUCCUGAGGCUUCCCCAGAAACUGAGCAGAUGCCAGUAUCAUGCUUCCUGUACAGCCUGAGGAUCCAUGAGCCAAUUAAACCUCUUUUCUCUAUAAAUUAUCCAGUCUCAGGUAUUUUUUAUAGCAAUGCAAGAACAGCCUAAUACUGUGCAAUUUCAGAAUCCCAAGUUUCUCUAUUUACCCAAGACCGGGGGGUGCUCCCGCGGCCUGAUUCAUGCUCACAGACAUGCAAA